CUGGUGGAACUUGCGCCCGUAGCUCAACGGAUAGAGCAUCUGACUACGGAUCAGAAGGUUGGGGGUUCGAAUCCCU
This 76-nucleotide transfer RNA is filed under the name Corynebacterium pseudotuberculosis. RNAcentral's name for it is "tRNA-Arg". The stretch from base 13 to 76 matches the Rfam family "tRNA", at positions 1 to 62 of the family's 71-position model. Rfam says of the family: Transfer RNA (tRNA) molecules are approximately 80 nucleotides in length. The record is from RNAcentral. Lineage: Bacteria; Bacillati; Actinomycetota; Actinomycetes; Mycobacteriales; Corynebacteriaceae.